AGGACGAACGCUGGCGGCGUGCUUAACACAUGCAAGUCGAGCGGAAAGGCCCUUCGGGGUACUCGAGCGGCGAACGGGUGAGUAACACGUGAGUAAUCUGCCCCUAGCUCUGGGAUAGCUCCGGGAAACCGGGAUUAAUACCAGAUACGACCACUUUAGACAUCUGUUGUGGUGGAAAGAAUUUUGGCUAGGGAUGAGCUCGCGGCCUAUCAGCUUGUUGGUGAGGUAACGGCUCACCAAGGCGACGACGGGUAGCCGGCCUGAGAGGGCGACCGGCCACACUGGGACUGAGACACGGCCCAGACUCCUACGGGAGGCAGCAGUGGGGAAUAUUGCGCAAUGGGCGAAAGCCUGACGCAGCGACGCCGCGUGGGGGAUGAAGGCCUUCGGGUUGUAAACCCCUUUCAGCGAGGGACGAAGCGAAAGUGACGGUACCUGCAGAAGAAGCGCCGGCUAACUACGCGCCAGCAGCCGC
RNAcentral lists this ribosomal RNA (475 nucleotides) under uncultured bacterium. Its description in RNAcentral is "SSU rRNA". It matches the Rfam family "Bacterial small subunit ribosomal RNA", at positions 26 to 518 of the family's 1533-position model. The record is from RNAcentral.